This 105-nucleotide small nuclear RNA is filed under the name Carlito syrichta (Philippine tarsier). The record is from RNAcentral. Lineage: Eukaryota; Metazoa; Chordata; Mammalia; Primates; Tarsiidae.
GUGCUCACUUUGGCAGCACAUAUACUAAAAUUGGAGCUAUACAGAAGAUGAGCAUGGUCCCUGUGCAAGGAUGAUACGCAAAUCCAUGAAGCAUUUCAUAUUCUA